Molecule: ribosomal RNA, 484 nt
Filed under: uncultured bacterium
Lineage: Bacteria
Description: partial 16S ribosomal RNA
Rfam family: Bacterial small subunit ribosomal RNA
Source: RNAcentral
AUUGAACGCUGGCGGCAGGCCUAACACAUGCAAGUCGAGCGGAUGAAGGGAGCUUGCUCCUGGAUUCAGCGGCGGACGGGUGAGUAAUGCCUAGGAAUCUGCCUGGUAGUGGAGGAUAACGUCCGGAAACGGGCGCUAAUACCGCAUACGUCCUGAGGGAGAAAGUGGGGGAUCUUCGGACCUCACGCUAUCAGAUGAGCCUAGGUCGGAUUAGCUAGUUGGUGGGGUAAAGGCCUACCAAGGCGACGAUCCGUAACUGGUCUGAGAGGAUGAUCAGUCACACUGGAACGGGGACACGGUCCAGACGACUACGGGAGGCAGCAGUGGGGAACAUUAGACAGUGGGCGAAAGCCUGAUACAGCCAUGCCGAGUGUGUGAAGAAGGUCUUCGGAUUGUAAAGAACUUUAAGUUGGUAGGAAGGGCAGUAAGUUAAUACCUUGCUGUUUUGACGUUACCAACAGAAUAAGCACCGGCUAACUUCGUG